This 55-nucleotide transfer RNA is filed under the name Steinernema litorale. RNAcentral describes it as "tRNA-Glu". Lineage: Eukaryota; Metazoa; Nematoda; Chromadorea; Rhabditida; Steinernematidae. The record is from RNAcentral.
GGGAUAAUAGUAUAAACAGUAUAUUUCUCUUUCUAAGAAAAGGUUAGUUAUCUUA